UCCCAAUGAAGAAAACCCUGUUGCGUCUUAUCCUCCGUCCUGGCCCCAGAACCUGCAAAGGUUGAACCCACUGGGGCCAGCGGAGGGAGAGGAGGAGGCCCUGCUCCAGAAGGAGCUGUCUGAUGGGAC
Molecule: small nucleolar RNA, 129 nt
Organism: Hemicordylus capensis (graceful crag lizard)
Lineage: Eukaryota; Metazoa; Chordata; Lepidosauria; Squamata; Cordylidae
Product: small nucleolar RNA SNORD22
Exons: 1
Source: RefSeq, a predicted model, not a curated record